AGUGAACGCUGGCGGUAGGCCUAACACAUGCAAGUCGAACGGCAGCACAGUAAGAGCUUGCUCUUACGGGUGGCGAGUGGCGGACGGGUGAGGAAUACAUCGGAAUCUACUUUUUCGUGGGGGAUAACGUAGGGAAACUUACGCUAAUACCGCAUACGACCUACGGGUGAAAGCGGGGGAUCUUCGGGCCUUGCGCGAUUGAAUGAGCCGAUGUCGGAUUAGCUAGUUGGCGGGGUAAAGGCCCACCAAGGCGACGAUCCGUAGCUGGUCUGAGAGGAUGAUCAGCCACACUGGAACUGAGACACGGUCCAGACUCCUACGGGAGGCAGCAGUGGGGAAUAUUGGACAAUGGGCGCAAGCCUGAUACAGCCAUACCGCGUGGGUGAAGAAGGCCUUCGGGUUGUAAAGCCCUUUUGUUGGGAAAGAAAAGCAGCAGGUUAAUACCCCGCUGUUCUGACGGUACCCAAAGAAUAAGCACCGGCUAACUUCGUG
RNAcentral lists this ribosomal RNA (492 nucleotides) under uncultured bacterium. Its description in RNAcentral is "partial 16S ribosomal RNA". It matches the Rfam family "Bacterial small subunit ribosomal RNA", at positions 29 to 507 of the family's 1533-position model. The record is from RNAcentral.